This 410-nucleotide ribosomal RNA is filed under the name uncultured Methylomirabilota bacterium. RNAcentral describes it as "bacterial SSU rRNA". It matches the Rfam family "Bacterial small subunit ribosomal RNA", at positions 1025 to 1434 of the family's 1533-position model. Lineage: Bacteria; Methylomirabilota (SeqCode). The record is from RNAcentral.
AGCGUGGAGACAGGUGGUGCAUGGCUGUCGUCAGCUCGUGUCGUGAGAUGUUGGGUUAAGUCCCGCAACGAGCGCAACCCUCACCCCUUGUUGCCACCAGGUCAGGCUGGGCACUCUAGGGGAACUGCCCCGGUCAACGGGGAGGAAGGUGGGGAUGACGUCAAGUCAUCAUGCCCCUUACGUCCUGGGCUACACACGUGCUACAAUGGCCGGUACAAAGGGAUGCAAGACUGCGAGGUGGAGCUAAACCCAAAAAGCCGGCCUAAGUUCAGAUUGGAGUCUGCAACUCGACUCCAUGAAGGAGGAAUCGCUAGUAAUCGCGCAUCAGCACGGCGCGGUGAAUACGUUCCCGGGCCUUGUACACACCGCCCGUCACACCACGAAAGCCAGCUGUACUCGAAGUCGCUGAG